Molecule: ribosomal RNA, 1807 nt
Filed under: Durio zibethinus
Lineage: Eukaryota; Viridiplantae; Streptophyta; Magnoliopsida; Malvales; Malvaceae
Description: SSU rRNA
Rfam family: Eukaryotic small subunit ribosomal RNA
Source: RNAcentral
CCUGGUUGAUCUUGCCAGUAGUCAUAUGCUUGUCUGAAAGAAUAAGCCAUGCAUGUGUAAAUAUGAACUAAUUUAGACUAUGAAACUAUGAAUGGGUCAUUAAAUUUAGUUAUAAUUUGUUUGAUGGUACCUACUACUUAGAUAACCAUAGUAAUUAUAAAGCUAAUACAUGCAACAAACCCCAACUUCUGGAAGGAAUGCAUUUAUUACAUAAAAGGUUGAUACAGGCUUUGCCUGUUGCUCUGAUGAUUUAUGAUAACUUAAUGGAUUGCACUGCCUUUGAGCCAGUGACACAUCAUUCAAAUUUUUCCUUAUCAACUUUUGAUGGUAAGAUAGUGGCCUACUAUGGUGGCGAUGGAUGAUGGAGAACUAGGGUUCAAUUCCAAAGAGGAAGCCUAAGAAAUGACUACCACAUCCAAGAAAGGCAAUAGGCAUGCAAAUUACCCAAUCCUAACACUGGAAGGUAGUGACAAUAAAUAACAAUACUGGGCUUUAUGAGUUUGGUAAUUAGAAUGAGUAAAAUAUAAAUCCCUUAUUAAGGAUCCACUGGAAGGCAAGUUUGGUGCUAGUAGCCAUGACAAUUCUAGUUUCAAUAGCAUAUAUUUAAGUUGUUAUAGUUCAAAAACUCAUAGUUGGAACUAGGGUUGGGUUAUCCAGUCCACUUCAUGGUGAGCACUUGUUUACUAGUCCUUACUACUUGUGAUGUGCUUCUGGCCUUAUCUGGAUAGGUCGUUGCUCUGGCCCUGUUACUUUGAAAAAAUUUGAGAGCUCAAAGCAGGCCUACACUUGUAUAUAAUAGCAUGGGAUAACAUCUUAAGAUUUUGGUCUUAUUGUGUUGGCCUUCAAGAUUGGAGCAAUGAUUAAUAGAAAUAAUGAACAACUACAAAAGUGAAAUUUGUGUUUAUGUUUCAUAGUCAGAGGUAAAAUUUUUGGAUUUAUGAAAAGUGAACAACUAAAAAAGCAUUUGCCAAUGAUGUUUUCAUUAAUCAAGACAAAAGUUAAGGGCUUGAAGAUGAUCAGAUGCCGUCUUAGUCUUAAAAAUAAAUGACGUUGAUCAGGGAUCGAUGGAUGUUACUUUUAGGACUCCACUGGCUCCUUAUGAGAAAUCAAAGUCAUUGGGUUCUAAAGGGAGUAUGGUUGCAAGGCUGAAACUUACAGGAAUUGACAGAAGGGCACCACUAAGAGUGAAGCUUGUGGCUUAAUUUGACUCAACAUAAGGAAACUUUCCAGGUCCAGAUAUGAUAAGGAUUGAUAGAUUGAGAGCUUUUUCUUGAUUCUAUGGGUGGUAAUGCAUGGCCAUUCUUAGUUGGUGGAGUGAUUUGUCUGGUUAAUUCCAUUAACAAAUGAGACUUUAGCUUACUACUAGCUACGUAGAGGUGAUCUUUCGUGGCUAACUUUUGGAGGGACUAUAGCUAUUUAGGCCAAGGAAGUUUAAGGCGAUAACAGGUCUGUGAUGCCGUUAGAUGUUCUAGGCCGCAUGUAUUUUACACUGAUGUAUUCAAUAAGUCUACAACAUUUGCAAACAAGCUCAGGUAAUCUUUGAAAUUUGAUCAUGAUAAAGAUUGAUCAUUGUAAUUGUUGGUCUUCAAUAAAGAAUUCCUAGUAAUUGCCAAUCAUCAGCUUGCUUUGACUACAUUCUUUCCCUUUGUACACUAUGGUUUUUAUUAAUUGAAUUGUCCAGUGAAGUAUUCGGAUCAUGGCAAUGUGGAUGGUUUACUGCCUGUGACAUCACAAGGAGUCCACUAAACCUUAUCAUUUAGAGGAAUGAGAAGUCGUAACAAGGUUUCUGUACCUGAACUUGUAGAAG